GGCUCAGGACGAACGCUGGCGGCGUGCUUAACACAUGCAAGUCGAACGCUGAAGCACCAGCUUGCUGGUGUGGAUGAGUGGCGAACGGGUGAGUAAUACGUGAGUAACCUGCCCUUGACUCUGGGAUAAGCCCGGGAAACUGGGUCUAAUACUGGAUGCUACAUGUCACCGCAUGGUGGUGUGUGGAAAGGGUUUACUGGUCUUGGAUGGGCUCACGGCCUAUCAGCUUGUUGGUGAGGUAAUGGCUCACCAAGGCGACGACGGGUAGCCGGCCUGAGAGGGUGACCGGCCACACUGGGACUGAGACACGGCCCAGACUCCUACGGGAGGCAGCAGUGGGGAAUAUUGCACAAUGGGCGAAAGCCUGAUGCAGCGACGCCGCGUGAGGGAUGACGGCCUUCGGGUUGUAAACCUCUUUCAGCAGGGAAGAAGCCACAAGU
This 440-nucleotide ribosomal RNA is filed under the name Kocuria sp. R-45665. Its description in RNAcentral is "bacterial SSU rRNA". It matches the Rfam family "Bacterial small subunit ribosomal RNA", at positions 21 to 458 of the family's 1533-position model. Lineage: Bacteria; Bacillati; Actinomycetota; Actinomycetes; Micrococcales; Micrococcaceae. The record is from RNAcentral.